RNAcentral lists this ribosomal RNA (1349 nucleotides) under uncultured bacterium. Its description in RNAcentral is "partial 16S ribosomal RNA". It matches the Rfam family "Bacterial small subunit ribosomal RNA", at positions 156 to 1533 of the family's 1533-position model. The record is from RNAcentral.
ACGGUCGGUAAUACCUUUAAUGUGUUCGGGAUGAAAGUUUAAUCCCCUGAAGAUAGGCUCCGGUCGGAUUAGCUAGUUGGAGGGUUAAGGGACCCCCAAGGGGACGAUCCGUAACUGGUUUGAGAGGAUGUUCAGCCACACUGGGACUGGAACACGGCCCAGAUUCCUACGGGAGGCAGCAAUGGGGAAUUUUCCGCAAUGGGCGAAAGCCUGACGGAGCAACCCCGCGUGCGGGAGGACGGCCUGUGGGUUGUAAACCGCUUUUCUCUAGGAAGAAGAACUGACGGUACUAGAGGAAUCAGCAUCGGCUAACUCCGUGCCAGCAGCCGCGGUAAUACGGAGGAUGCAAGCGUUAUCCGGAAUUAUUGGGCGUAAAGCGUCCGCAGGUGGUUAAACAAGUCUGCUGUCAAAGGUCGGGGCUCAACUCCGAAAUUGCAGUGGAAACUGAUUGACUAGAGUACGGUAGGGGUAGAGGGAAUUCCCAGUGUAGCGGUGAAAUGCGUAGAUAUUGGGAAGAACACCAGUGGCGAAGGCGCUCUACUGGGCCGUAACUGACACUGAGGGACGAAAGCUAGGGGAGCGAAAGGGAUUAGAUACCCCUGUAGUCCUAGCUGUAAACGAUGGACACUAGGUGUUGCGCGUAUCGACCCGUGCAGUACCGUAGCUAACGCGUUAAGUGUCCCGCCUGGGGAGUACGCACGCAAGUGUGAAACUCAAAGGAAUUGACGGGGGCCCGCACAAGCGGUGGAGUAUGUGGUUUAAUUCGAUGCAACGCGAAGAACCUUACCAGGGCUUGACAUGCCGCGAAUCUUCUAGAAAGGGGAGAGUGCCUACGGGAGCGCGGACACAGGUGGUGCAUGGCUGUCGUCAGCUCGUGUCGUGAGAUGUUGGGUUAAGUCCCGCAACGAGCGCAACCCUCGUCCUUAGUUGCCAUCAUUAAGUUGGGCACUUUAGGGAGACCGCCGGGGACAACUCGGAGGAAGGUGGGGAUGACGUCAAGUCAUCAUGCCCCUUACGUCCUGGGCUACACACGUACUACAAUGCUUCGGACAAAGGGCAGCAAGCAUGCGAAUGCAAGCAAAUCCCAUAAACCGAGGCACAGUUCAGAUUGCAGGCUGCAACUCGCCUGCAUGAAGGAGGAAUCGCUAGUAAUCGCAGGUCAGCAUACUGCGGUGAAUACGUUCCCGGGCCUUGUACACACCGCCCGUCACACCAUGGGAGUUGGCCACGCCCGAAGUCGUUACUCCAACCUUUCGAGGAGGAGGACGCCGAAGGCAGGGCUGAUGACUGGGGUGAAGUCGAUACGGAAUAUAGAAUGUCAUAUAGAUGCAUACGCUAUUUCAUUCCCC